RNAcentral lists this unclassified non-coding RNA (254 nucleotides) under Hevea brasiliensis (rubber tree). Lineage: Eukaryota; Viridiplantae; Streptophyta; Magnoliopsida; Malpighiales; Euphorbiaceae. The record is from RNAcentral.
GACAAUCCUUGGGCCAUCUCAGAAGAAUCUUCACUUGGAGCAUUGCCUCUGGCUACAGUUGAAUCAUCUGUCAAGAAAUUAUUGGUUGUCAUGUUUUCCAACUUCAAAGAAUGUUCAGAAAAUGUUUCAUUUUGAAUGAUUUCCCUAUCUGACAGAUUUCCUUCAGCAGCAUGAAUUAUCUGUGUAUGUCCAUUUUGGUGUAACUCUAGCGCUUUGCCUGUCAAACUUAAAUCCGAACUAGCAACAAAAUGGAC